AGUGAACGCUGGCGGUAGGCCUAACACAUGCAAGUCGAACGGCAGCACAGUAAGAGCUUGCUCUUACGGGUGGCGAGUGGCGGACGGGUGAGGAAUACAUAGGAAUCUACUUUUUCGUGGGGGAUAACGUAGGGAAACUUACGCUAAUACCGCAUACGACCUACGGGUGAAAGCAGGGGAUCUUCGGACCUUGCGCGAUUGAAUGAGCCGAUGUCGGAUUAGCUAGUUGGCGGGGUAAAGGCCCACCAAGGCAACGAUCCGUAGCUGGUCUGAGAGGAUGAUCAGCCACACUGGAACUGAGACACGGUCCAGACUCCUACGGGAGGCAGCAGUGGGGAAUAUUCGACAAUGGGCGCAAGCUUGACCCAGCCAUACCGCGUGAGUGAAGAAGGUCUUCGGAUUGUAAAGCUCUUUUGUUAGGGAAGAAAAACUGCAGAUGAAUACCCCGCUGUUCUGACGGUACCCAAAGAGUAAGCACCGGCUAACUUCGUG
This 492-nucleotide ribosomal RNA is filed under the name uncultured bacterium. Its description in RNAcentral is "partial 16S ribosomal RNA". It matches the Rfam family "Bacterial small subunit ribosomal RNA", at positions 29 to 507 of the family's 1533-position model. The record is from RNAcentral.